RNAcentral lists this ribosomal RNA (497 nucleotides) under uncultured bacterium. Its description in RNAcentral is "partial 16S ribosomal RNA". It matches the Rfam family "Bacterial small subunit ribosomal RNA", at positions 28 to 507 of the family's 1533-position model. The record is from RNAcentral.
GACGAACGCUGGCGGCGUGCCUAAUACAUGCAAGUUGAGCGCUGAAGGUUGGUACUUGUACCGACUGGAUGAGCAGCGAACGGGUGAGUAACGCGUGGGGAAUCUGCCUUUGAGCGGGGGACAACAUUUGGAAACGAAUGCUAAUACCGCAUAAAAACUUUAAACACAAGUUUUAAGUUUGAAAGAUGCAAUUGCAUCACUCAAAGAUGAUCCCGCGUUGUAUUAGCUAGUUGGUGAGGUAAAGGCUCACCAAGGCGAUGAUACAUAGCCGACCUGAGAGGGUGAUCGGCCACAUUGGGACUGAGACACGGCCCAAACUCCUACGGGAGGCUGCAGUAGGGAAUCUUCGGCAAUGGACGAAAGUCUGACCGAGCAAAGCCGCGUGAGUGAAGAAGGUUUUCGGAUCGUAAAACUCUGUUGGUAGAGAAGAACGUUGGUGAGAGUGGAAAGCUCAUCAAGUGACGGUAACUACCCAGAAAGGGACGGCUAACUACGUG